CAUCCCCAAGAUGCUCCUCGCCCCGUACUCCCUGGGCCUCACGGCCACCCCCGAGCGUCCCGAUGGCGGCCACGAAGUCCUGCCGGACCUCGUCGGCCCCAUCGUCUAUCGGCGCUCGCCCGAGGACCUCGCCGGAACGUACCUCGCGCCCUUCGAGCUGGUCCGCAUCCCCAUAGAGCUGACCGCCCAGGAGCGGUUCGAGUACGCCCAGGCCGACGCGGUAUACAGGGACUUCCUGAACAAGCACCGCCUCGU
This 255-nucleotide unclassified non-coding RNA is filed under the name plant metagenome. RNAcentral describes it as "partial contains 5.8S ribosomal RNA, internal transcribed spacer 2, and large subunit ribosomal RNA". The record is from RNAcentral.